Molecule: long non-coding RNA, 6890 nt
Filed under: Canis lupus familiaris (dog)
Lineage: Eukaryota; Metazoa; Chordata; Mammalia; Carnivora; Canidae
Description: lncRNA (ENSCAFG00000057305.1)
Source: RNAcentral
UUUUGGGUAUUCUGGGUCCCUUGCAGUUCUAUAGGAAUUUUAGGAUCAGUUUGUUCACUUCCAAAGAAAAAAAAACACCUGGGACUUGAAAAGGAUUAUGUUGAGGCUGUGGAUUAUUUGGAACAAAGUUUUCUGAUCCAUACAUAUAGGAUAUAUUUCCAUUUAUUCAUUCUUUAAUCCCUUUCAACAAUAUUUUACAGUUUUUAGUAUAUUAGUCUUGUACUUCCUUACUUCCUGUGUCAUGUUUAUUUCUAUGCAUUUUUUUUUUGCUACUGUUAUAAGUGGGAUUGUUUUCAUAGUAUCAUUUGGAGAUUUUUCAUUGCCAGUGUACAGAAAUAAAAUUGAUUUUUGUAUAUUGAUCUUAUAUCUUGCCACAUUGCUGAACUCGUUUAUUAGUUCUAAUAGUUUUUUAGUGGAUUUGCCAAUGCACUUUUAACUUAAACUUUUAAAUUAUUUUGACCCCCACUAUACUUCCAAACAUUAGUGUAUGCUACUCUUAUGCAACAAUUAUCUUCAAUAUUGAGCAAUUAAAUUUUGUCUGCUCCCAGCUCUCAUGGCAGCCCCUUCAAUUAACCCCUUAGCCUAAUGACCACUACACUCUCCAUAGGAAAGUGGAAAGAACAACAUCAACAAGAAAAAUUACUUCUUCCUUAAUUCUUUCUAUUUCUAGAAGUUAGUAAAACCAUUCGGUAUAGUAAAAGUAAACAUGCUAAGCUACUAAAACUCUUCUGCCUAGCAUUACUUUGCUAAAAUGAAGUCAAGCAAAACGUAACCAAAAGUGGAUUUUGACAUUUCAUAUUUUGUUGAAUACUGCUAGGGUGCUGGCAAUCACUGUCUCUUACAUACAAAUUAACAGCCUACCAUCUGUCAAGUGUUGGGAUAAUCACAGGGUUUAGUGCACAAUAUGGUUAUUAGAAUAUGACCUGACAAAAAGGAAAAGAACACAACCUAAUUUGGACUAUAAAAUCUAUGAUCUCACUUGCAAAUGACAGUUUGACAAGCUAUUAUUCUGCAUUUUGGCUUCUACAGUAAAAGCAGUUUUAUGCAUACGUAAUUCUAUUAGUUAUACAGGCAACAGCCUGUGGAAGAUUGCUUUAAACUAUAAAAUCAAUUUGGUCAUACAGUAUUUUUUAACUAAUUCUUAGACAAAUAUUUGCACCACGAGUAAGUGGGAAUGUAAUGAUCUGAGCCUUCACAUUUCCAAGUAAAGCACCAAUCAUUUGGCAAAAAUGUCUUUGUGAUAUUGCUGCCAGCGAUUCCACAGAAUUCUUCAGGGCAUAUGCAAAGAAAGGGUUGUAGGAACUUAUUAAAACCAUUCACGUGAACAUACAUCAAAGUCAAAAAGUUGACAGUUUUGAAAAGUGUAAUAUAUGAAACACUUUGGCAUAGAAUUUACUUCAUCCCCAACAGUGACAUCUGCUAAUGAGCAUCAUUAAUAUUGCCUACUUUUAUUUAUCCUAAUGCCUCAUGGGUGCUAUCUUUAUGUACAUUCCUCUGUAACACCUUUUGUUUUCAUCCAGGGGGAAAAAAUCCAUACUGACAGCUGCCUCUAAUAAAGAUGAUUCCAACAAAACUCUUCUCUUCUGGUUACAGAGAGAAUAUAGAGUGCCAAGUUCUUUUUAUGGUUGUUUUCUGCCUCUCAAAACAGUGCAUAAAUGUGUAGUGUUCCUGAAGGUUAUUUAAGGGUACACCCAUUGUGUCUAAAACACAUGCUUAAGAGAGAAAUGCAUUAAUUAAGUCUCAAGGCAAAAUGUUCUGUUGAGGUGACAAAACAAAACAGAUUUUUUAAUAUUAGCAAUUAUAUUACCUGGGGAGCUUAAGUGAGAUAAUAACUAUAUAAUACAUUAAGCAACUCACAGUGCAAAUUAUGUUGCUUUGUUUUAAACUGCACAUCUUUCCCAUUAUUUUCACACUUGUUUCCUUUCACGGUAGAGAAAAAUGAUGUAUUUUUCUGUCAUGUUGGCUCAAUAUAAGGUGAGUCAGGGUGCCAAGGCUCUUCCACAAAGGAUCUUGGGAUCCAAUUUUAAUAUGCUGAAAUAUGAAUUUUAAGAACAGUGUGUGAUGAAUUGUAAGGCUGCACAAUACCCCCAAAUUUCGUAACACCGAGUCCUUCAUGGCUAUUCUCUGAAGACUAGAAAAAAUUGAUUAAAAUUUGAAGAACUUUAAAUAUAUAAAAGCAUAUAAAAUAUUAUUUACAUCCAUGAGUUUAGAAUGAUUCAUCUAUGGCAGCAACCCUGCUUACAAGUACAAUAUAAGAUCAGUGAACAGAAAAACAUAAACAAAAAGAUACGGAGAAUCAGGGAAAUUUAUUAUUCAUUUACAGAAGAGCCAGUGCUUUUUUUCCCUUUAGAAAAGAAAAAAUUAAAAAAUCUCAGGUUCAGGGCAGCUGGGUGACUCAGUGGUUGAGCAUUUGCCUUCAGCUCAAGGCAUGAUCCCAGGGUCCCAGAAUCGGGUUCUGCAUCAGGCUCCCCACAGAGAGCCUGCGUCCCCCUCUGCCUAUGUCUCUUCCUAUGUCUCUCCUGAAUAAAUAAAAUAUUUAAAAUAAUAAUAAACAAAAUAAAAUAAUAAAGUAAAAUUAAUAAAAUAGAAAAUCCCAGGUUCUUUCUAGCUACCUUUGCUCUUAUCACUUAGUAUAUUUAUGAAACUUUUUUUUUUUAAUGUGAAGGCUAUCUGUCAUGGAUGUGACUUCAUAAAUGAACAAAAAGUGCCCUCUGGAAAUCCUUUUCUCUCAGAAAGAAUUAUUCCCAAAUUUGGAAGUCCAGUUAAAUUCAAGCAUUAAAUAUGUCAAAAAGAGAGAAAGAGGGGAAAAGAGGGAUAGAGGGAAGAAAAGGGGCAGUGUGUGGGGGAAAUCAAUGCCUGGUCAAAAGACAGGAAAAAAUUAACCAAAUUAUUUAUGUGAUGAGACUAUGAAUAAUUUAAUGUCUUUGGACUUUUAUUCACUUUUCUAAACAAACACACAUCACUUUUUAAUGAAAAAGCAACUUUAUAUGUAUUUUUCUUCUCUGUUAGAGGAAUGAUUUACAUACAAUAGAAUAUGCAAAUCUUAAGUCUACAGCUCCUUGACAUCUUCAUAUGUAUAAGCUCAAGGAUCCUCCACCAAAAACAAGAUAUAAAUUUAUUUCCAGAAAGUUCCCUUGUGAUCUUUUCCAGGCAAUAGCUUUCUAUCCUUCCAUGUUUCUAUCUUCUAUCACCAUUGAUUCAUUAAGUCUGGUUCCUGAGUUUUAUAUAAGUAGAAUCACACAGUGUAGACUCUUCUGAAGUUUGUGGCUUCUUUUGUCAACAUAAUGUUUUUGAGAUGCACUCAUACUGUUGUAUAUAUCAGUUGUUACCCUUUAUUGCUGAGUAGUAACCCAUUGUAUGACUACACACCACAAUUGUUUACUUGUUCACCCACUGAGAGACAUUGGAUUUUCUCACAUCUUGGGCUAUUAUGAUAAGCUGCUAUGAACAUCCUUGUGCAAGUCUUUUUUGUAGGCAUAUAUACUAUUUUCUCUCAGAUUAAAUCUUACAAAAGAAAUAUAUGACAUAAAAUUUUUAAUUUUAAAGUGAGAUCUAGUAUUUUUUUAUGGCCAUUGUAUUUUAAACUAAAAGAAAAUACUUAAAAAUCAGAACUUCACAGUUUCAAUCUAAGAGAAAGGGAACGUACAAAACUCAAAGCAUAAAUUUGUAACAAUUUUAUGCUCCCAGAUGCAGAGUUCAAACCAAGAUAAAAGAAUUAUAAACCUUGCUGGGACCCUAGAAAAAUACUUAUUGCUCCUCCUCCUGAAACUUCGUUGCUUCCAAUGGAAAGAUUUCCAAAGGGAUGAAAUUUGCCAUAGGAACAUGAUUUCAAUUUUUAGUUUUAACAAUUAAAACUUCUCUCUAGCUGAAAGAAUAAUGGAGAAAGAAGUAUAAUUAUAAAGUUAAAAGUAAACCUAUCAAAUAAUCAAGAGGCCAAUAUGUCAGAGCUGAAAGGUCAUCACCAUUCAGGGAAAAAAGUUAGGGAACUGAGAAACCACUGAAAUGGGACCAGUGGAUGUGGAGUCAUAGAUGACAUGUCCAUGGUAUCUAGCCUAUGCUAGGGAAAAGAAGGGUUUUCUCUAGGGAUGAUGACAAAUACAAUCUUGUCAUCAUGUUGCUAAGAAUCACAGAUAGGAUGGCUAUAAAUUAUCCUCCAGACUGAAAAACUGAGACUAAAAGGGGUGCUAAAAAUAAAUAUUAUUUAAUUUUGUAAAAAGAUUUUAUGAUAUUUAUUUAUUUACUUAUUUAUUUAUUUAUUUUAGAGACAGAGAGAUUGCAAGCAGGGCGAGACACAGAGGGAGAAGGAGAGAAAGAAUACCAAGCAAACUCUGCGCUGGUCAUAGAGCCCAUGUGAGGUUCAAUCUCACAACCCUGAGAUCACGACCUGAGUCAAAACCAAGAGUCAGAGGCCUAACCAAAUGAGCCACCCAGGCACCCCAAUAUUACUUAAAUUUUAAAAUAUUUACUUGCUCAUUUACAAGUUGGAUUUUAUUAUAGUGGAAGACAUUUAAAAAAUAGUCCUAUUCCAAAAUAGUUUCCAAAAAUAAAAUUAUUUUUAUUUAAAAUAUGGACGUGUGUUUUUGUGUGUUUGCGUGUGUGUGUGUGUGUGUGUGUGUGUGUCGUAGGGGAGGAAAAAUCCUCCUUUCUUCCUCCACCUUCUUUGGGUGUCUAAGAUAGAUUGACAAGAGAAAAUAAAACUUCAAUAAAAUAUAAACUUCAGUGACUUUUUACAUGUUUAUGAGAGCCUUUACAAGAGAAUAAAGACCCAAAGAAGUUACCAGAGAGGAAACUUUUAUCUUUUAGAUGAAGAAACAAUAAAUAUGUGAAGAAUUGAUAUGACAAAAGGGUUUGGCCUAUAGGUCGUAAAUCGUGAAGAAGUAACUAGGAAAAUACGGGUUCUGUCUUAACAAGGUUUGUUAAUAUAGCCUUCUUGGCCCUAAGUUCCCUAUAGAUAAUCAUAAGGAUCCCUGUACCCAUGUUGUACAGAACAGAUACCUUUUAUAGCAGAGAUGAUCUACUACUUUCAGGACUAAAGAGGGUCAGAGUAUCCCCCUUGCACUGGCAAUUUAUUAAAGUAUCUUUAAUUCAAAAUAAUCAAUAUGCCAAAGUGACAUAUUUUGGGGUGAUGAUCUGAACCCCCGCUAUCUGCAUAUUCAGGAUAAAUGCUAACCUAGACAAGAUGCAGAGGCAACUGAUAUAAACUGAGACUCUCCCAAGUAAACUAAGACUCCAGUCCUAGCCAAGUGGGUACUCUUUAUCUAGUGAGGUGUCACCUCCAACCCUCUCCAAUGGACUGAAAAAGGUAACUAAAUGGAACCUAAGAAGCUAAGGUCUUUUUGUGCAUUCAGUAAAUGAUUUGUGAAAGUCUUUGGUGUGUUUGCCAUUGCCCCAGACAUAGGGAAUACAAUGGUAAAUGGUUCAACCAUCUCUGGACUUAUGGGACCUUCAAUUUGCCAGAGAACAAGAGGCAAGGAUCAAAUUAUUAGAAGUGUGCUGUAAAGAGGUAAAAUGCAGAGCUCUCUGAAAGCUUUUACAUUGGUAGUUCUCAUUGGGGUGGAUAUCGUCCUCUAAGGUGAUUUUUUUGGAAUUGUGAGGGGCUAUCUCACCAAUGGGGAGUGUGACUCUCUGAAGGUCUCCAGAGAUGCUAGAUGUACAGGAUAGGCCCACACAAUGAAAAAUGGUUUCCUGUGCCUCAUGACUUUCACAUGUCCCACCAGACAUUCACACAGGUAGAAGAAAAACAAUUUAUGGUUAUCUGCUUUAUAUAUUUUUUGCACGUUUUUAAUUUUCAUUGAAUUUUUCAGGCAUGAAACUGACAUGCAUACCAAAGGAAGACUGUACUUUUUUGUUCAGCCCUUUACCAAUUGUUCACUAUUUCAGAAAAAUCACAACAUUGACAGCAGCAGGGCUUAUGAGACUCAGUCUACCAAUAUAAAACACAAUGGCAUUAGUCUGCAUUGGUAUCUGUCCCAUGCAAAUAUGUAAGAGAAAAAUAGGCUAAGCAGCAAAUAGUAUUAAGUUGGCCAUGACCCAUGACACCUGGGGAUAUUCCAAAAUGUAUUCAUUGAGAGCAUCUUUAAAUAUUUCAUUUUAUUGGCAUAAUAUAUACCUUUUAAAAAUUCUGCAGCACGGUGAUAAAAAAAAAUCUGUAUUGUAAAAAUUACUGAUUAAAAUUAUUUACUUACUUUGGAUUUGCCUCUUGUUUCUCCGUCUUACACUGAAACUGUCCCUAGAGGUCUCCCACACAACUUCUUUAUGACUUUUUAUAUUACUGUUUCUUUUUCCAAUCCAUUUCCUAUUCCCUGUUGCCUACUGACAGGCUUUUUAAGAACUAGAGACCAAAUAUAUGCCACAAGCUGAGGAAGGAUUUCAAUAUUAGAGGUAUUCUUGUGAUUCUUCGAUACUCCUUGGUCUCUCAUCAUAACAGAAUUAUUUUGCAACUUGCCGUACAAAUAAGUCCAACUAAUUUCCAGGAAGGCCAGACUUGCUUAUGGUCUCUACCUCAAAGCUGUGUAAUUAAUCUCAGCAUGUGAGCCCUACUUCAACUACAUUUAUUUCCCUCUUUUUCUCAUCACAUGUCAUUCUUUCUCCCAAAACUAGUUUUUAUUCUAGUGUUCCCAUACCUCUCGUCUUCCAUUUCUGCACUUCUUCCACAGAAUAGCUUCUAAAUCUUCUCUUAGAUCCAAUUUUAUUCAGAUCAAGUAGAUAAAGCAAUCAACUGAUUCACUGUCUUCAAGUGGAGCUGUGCUUUGCCAUUUACACCAAAAUAUUUUGUUUAUUGUAACUCACUUCCCUUUUCUCUUUCCUUUACCUUACUAGUUAAAGCAUUAUACCAAUUUUUAAAAGUAUGUGGGGAGUGGGUAUAGGCAAUAUUAUCAAAUGUAUUUCAU